RNAcentral lists this long non-coding RNA (1107 nucleotides) under Rattus norvegicus (Norway rat). RNAcentral's name for it is "long non-coding RNA NONRATT004273". Lineage: Eukaryota; Metazoa; Chordata; Mammalia; Rodentia; Muridae. The record is from RNAcentral.
CUUUUGACAAAUUAACCCUCUUGGAAUAGUCUCUAAAACAGACAUUCAUCUCCCCCACUUGCCACAAAAAAUGUCUUUAUCCAAAGCAUCGAGAUGUCCCCUGGAAACAGCAGAGCUUGGCCAGGUGUGGUACGGAGGCCUAGCUCCAUGUCCUAGGAUCUCAAAUUCAGAGGUCCAGGGAGUAGCCAUACCCUGCCUUCCUCAUAGGUCUAAGGGGGGAGAUCUCUACUGGGAGUUUGACAGUCAGGUAACGUUUUAGCCACUUAUGAUCAGCACUUAAAGUCAGAUUGCGUUGCCCUGGAGUGAACCAAUGAUUAUUAAUUUUUCAGCCAUAAUAAGUGGAUUUCUCUAUUUUUCGCUUGUAUUGAGCACAAGUCUGAUACUAUUUAAAAUACAAAAUACUAGAAAACGAAUGUAAAGAAUGGGAAAUCAUGGGGUGGUUUUUUUUUGCAUGAAAAUAGACUGCUUACAAAUUUGCUUAAUAUCUCAGGACAAAAGAAUGAAUGGUUGUAUGUAAAAUUGGUAAAUCAUACGUAGGUUGUAUUUUCUUGACAGUUUUUAUUUAAGGAAACCCUACAAUGGGGGAAGGGUCCUGAUGGUCUUAGGUUCUCUCUUAAGUAUGCUGCGUACCCCUGCCUGUGCGUCUACAAAUCCUCCCAUGAGAAUGAGACCAGCAUCCACAUGAGGACCCGUCCCCGGAUGAGCCCCUCUUCACUGAGAGCACACUAAUGGUUGUACCGCAGAGGUGAUGAGUACUUGCAAAUGUAAGCAGGCGUUUCUAAACCUAGUCGCAGACAUAAAGGAUUUUCACGAGGUAGCAGUGCCACGGAAGCGCUCAUCUCUCCACACACUUUAUGUUUCUUUGUUAAAUCAUCACGGCGAUUGCAUGGGGAGGGGGAAAUGGCUAUUUUUCGAAGAAUUGCUUACUCUACUUUCAACUUUUGAAAAUGAAUGGAUUAAAAUAUUACUUUUUAAAUAUGCAUAGAUGUAUCUUAACUGUAAUUAUAUUUUCAUUUGCUUUGUUAUAACAGCAUGGUCGGCAAAUUCAAAAUGCACUGACGGAAACUUUUGUAAAAAAAAAAUAAAAAUUUCUUUUUUUUAUUUCUC